AUGGCAACACGGCCCGGCCCUUUGACCGAAUGGCCAUGGCAUUGGAUGGGCAGCUUCAAGUACCUGGUCUUGGCGCCCGCGGCGUUGCACACUGCGCACAGUGUGGGCACCAAGGGGUGGGGAGACAUGAACCUAGUAUACGCCGCCAUGUUACCAGCUCUGCUUCUGAGGUUGUUCCACAACCAGAUCUGGAUCAGCUUGUCUCGCCACCAGACCGCACGGAGGAAGCACAUCAUUGUGGACCGCAGCCUUGAAUUCGACCAGGUCGACCGGGAGAGAUCCUGGGAUGACCAGGCCAUCCUUGCUACGCUGUUUUUCUACGUGGCCUAUGCGGCCAUCCCGAGUGUCAGACUCAUGCCAAUGUGGGAAGCAAAGGGAGCUAUCAUCAUGGCGUUGCUUCACGUAGGACCUGUUGAGUUUAUCUACUACUGGUUCCACAGGGCGCUACACCACCAUUUCCUCUACUCCCGCUACCACUCCCACCACCAUGCCUCCAUCGUCACAGAGCCUAUAACAGCUGUCAUCCAUCCAUUUGUUGAAACCUUAGCUUACUUCCUGUUAUUUUCGAUCCCCAUGCUGAUACCAAUUUAUAUGGGAUAUGGUUCUGUCUUGGGUGUUGUCCUAUACCUGGCUUACAACGACUUCAUAAAUAAUAUGGGACACUGCAAUUUUGAGAUGCUCCCAAAGUGGAUCUUCCAACGUUUCCCUCCUCUCAAGUAUCUCAUGUACACUCCAUCGUAUCAUUCUCUCCAUCAUACAAAGUUUCGUACAAACUACUCGUUGGCUAUGCCAAUCUAUGACUACAUAUUCAACACAAUGGACAAGUCAACUGACGAGCUGUAUGAGAGAACACUGAUUGGAACAGAGGAAACACCAGAUGUUGUUCACUUGACGCAUAUGACCACCUUGCAAUCGAUUUAUCAUCUAAGGGUUGGGAUUGCAUCUAUAGCCUCUCGGCCUUCAGAUAACCAUGUAUGGUAUAUGUGGAUGAUAUGGCCAAUGGCAUGGCUAUCAAUGGUACUGGCAUGGGUUUAUGGAUCAUCUGCGUUUAUCGUCGAAAGUCUCAAGCUGAAGAAGAUCAUGAUGCAAACAUGGGUGAUACCAAGAUACAACUUCCAGUACAGCCUGACUAGGGAGAGGGAAUCCAUCAACAGGUUAAUUGAGCAGGCAAUAUCAGAUGCGGAUGGAAGAGGGGUCAAAGUGCUCAGUCUUGGACUUUUCAAUCAGGAAAGACAACUCAAUGGAAGUGGUGAAUUAUUUACACAAAAAUAUCCAAAAUUGAGAGUUCGACUUGUUGACGGAAGUGGUUUAGCAACAGCAGUUGUUCUCAAGAGCAUCCCUUUAGAUACAAAGCGGGUGUUUCUCUGUGGAGGCAGUUCUAAGGUAGCACAUGCCACAGCUACAGCUUUAUGCGAGAGAGGUGUCCAGGUAAUCAUGAACCAAAAGAAGGAAUAUGACAUGCUUAAAUUGCGAGUUGCAGAGAGCAGCACUGCCUAUCUGAAAUUCUCCAGUGAUGAGAUACCUCAGAUCUGGAUAGGAGAUAUCAUAAAUGAUAAGCAACAAAUGGGGGCACCAAGAGGAGCAACAUUUAUUCCUACAUCACAGUUUCCCUUUAAGAAGAUACGCAAGGAUUGCACUUACUUGAGUAACCCUGCAAUGAAGAUCCCAGAGGCAAUGCAGAACGUCCAUACCUGUGAGAAUUGGCUUCCAAGAAGGGUCAUGAGCGCAUGGCGCAUUGCUGGAAUGGUACAUGCACUAGAAGGUUGGGGCAUCCAUGAGUGUGGAGAUGAUAUGAUGGACAUCGAGCAAGUUUGGUCGGCAGCUAUUAAGCAUGGAUUCAUUCCUCUAUAA
RNAcentral lists this ribosomal RNA (1851 nucleotides) under Triticum aestivum (bread wheat). Its description in RNAcentral is "partial small subunit ribosomal RNA". Lineage: Eukaryota; Viridiplantae; Streptophyta; Magnoliopsida; Poales; Poaceae. The record is from RNAcentral.